Molecule: small nucleolar RNA, 134 nt
Organism: Gymnodraco acuticeps
Lineage: Eukaryota; Metazoa; Chordata; Actinopteri; Perciformes; Bathydraconidae
Product: small nucleolar RNA SNORA9
Exons: 1
Source: RefSeq, a predicted model, not a curated record
GUGCAGACCUUCCAGCGAGGCUCAGCCUGCAGUGGCUCUGAUCUUUCCUAUAGUGUCUGCUAGAGAGAUGAGAGGCCGUUUGAGGCCCUGCUGUGACUCCUUACAGCAGGGUUAUAGGUAAACCUCCAACAUGU